RNAcentral lists this ribosomal RNA (691 nucleotides) under Ramaria rubribrunnescens. RNAcentral describes it as "eukaryotic LSU rRNA". Lineage: Eukaryota; Fungi; Basidiomycota; Agaricomycetes; Gomphales; Gomphaceae. The record is from RNAcentral.
AUCAUUACAGUAGUUUGGGGGUUGGAUGCUGGCCCGUAAGKCGUGUGCGCGCCCUUUCAUUUCUAAUCCCUCACACACACACCUGUGCACCUAUGGCGAGCGCCUCCCGUUUGGAGACGUCCGAUCGUAUAAGCCCCUUUGGGGGUUUAAAGAAGGUCGGGCUGAGGCGUUCCCUCUUUUUGCAUUUACAACACCGAUAGAAACCGCGUGUCUUUUGAGCUUUUAUGUCGUAUAACUUUCAACAACGGAUCUCUUGGCUUUUGCAUCGAUGAAGAACGCCGCGAAAGUGCGAAACGAAAUGUGAAUUGCAGAAUUCAGUGAAUCAUCGAAUCUUUGAACGCAUCUUGCGCUCCUUGGUAUUCCGAGGAGCAUGCCUGUUUGAGUGUCGUGAACUCCCCUCAAUUUCCUUUUUCCCCCUAGGGGGGAAARGGGGGGUUGGAUUUGGAUGUUGCGGGUUGUGCCCGCUCGUCUUUAAACGCAUCAGCUGGCCCCCCUUAGAGUCGGACCGAUGACGGUGUGAUAACAAACGCUUCGUUGACUGUGGCGCCGUUUGGGUCGACUUCAAAUCUGGGUCGCUUAUAGCCCCCUGUCCCCUGGGACACGAUAAUGUCAUCUGACCUCAAAUCAGGUAGGAUUACCCGCUGAACUUAAGCAUAUCAAUAAGCGGAGGAAAAGAAACUAACGAGGAUUC